Molecule: ribosomal RNA, 119 nt
Filed under: Pteropus alecto (black flying fox)
Lineage: Eukaryota; Metazoa; Chordata; Mammalia; Chiroptera; Pteropodidae
Source: RNAcentral
UCUUACAGCCAUGCCACCCUGAACAAGCCCGAUCCUGUCUGAACUCAGAAGCUAAGCAGGGUCGGGCCUGGUUAGUACUUGGAUGGGAGACCACCUAGGAAGAUCAGGUGCUUUAGGCG